Long non-coding RNA from Cygnus olor (mute swan), 1889 nucleotides. RefSeq lists it as uncharacterized. The transcript has 3 exons. The record is from RefSeq and is a predicted model, not a curated record. NCBI's taxonomy places the organism in Eukaryota, Metazoa, Chordata, Aves, Anseriformes, Anatidae.
GAACAUGAGAACACGUGUAGGAUCAUGGUUGGAGUCAUGAGGGACACUUGUGGGAUCAUGGCUAUGGUCCUGAGGGACAUGGGGACACUUGUAGGAUCAUCGUUGGGGUCAUGAGGGACAUGGGGACGCUUGUAGGGUCAUGGUUAUGGUCAUGAGGGGACACUGCUACUUGUAGGAUCAUGGUUGGGGUCACGAGGGACACUUGUAGGAUCGUGGUUAUGGUCAUGAGGGACACGGGGACACUUGUAGGGUCGUGGUUGGGGUCAUGAAGGGAUAUGGGGACACUUUUAGGAUCACGGUUAUGGUCAUGAGGAACAUGAGGACACGUGUAGGAUCAUGGUUGGGGUCAUGAGGAACACUUGUAGGAUCAUCGUUGGGGUCGUGAGGGACAUGGGGACACUUUUGUAGGGUCGUGGUUGGGGUCAUGAGGAACAUGGGGACAGUUGUAGGGUCAUGGCUGGGGUCAUGAGGAACAUGGGGACAGCUGUAGGAUCAUGGAUGGGGUCAUGAGGGGAUAUGGGAACACUUGUAGGGUCAUGGUUAUGGCCAUGAGGGACAUGGGGACGCUUGUAGGGUCAUGGUUAUGGUCAUGAGGGGACACUGCUACUUGUAGGAUCAUGGUUGGGGUCACGAGGGACACUUGUAGGAUUGUGGUUAUGGUCAUGAGGGACACGGGGACACUUGUAGGAUCAUCGUUGGGGUCAUGAGGGACAUGGGGACGCUUGUAGGGUCAUGGUUGGGGUCACGAGGGACACUUGUAGGAUCGUGGUUAUGGCCAUGAGGGACAUGAGGACACGUGUAGGAUCAUGGUUGGAGUCAUGAGGGACACUUGUGGGAUCAUGGCUAUGGUCCUGAGGGACAUGGGGACACUUGUAGGAUCAUCGUUGGGGUCAUGAGGGACAUGGGGACGCUUGUAGGGUCAUGGUUAUGGUCAUGAGGGGACACUGCUACUUGUAGGAUCAUGGUUGGGGUCACGAGGGACACUUGUAGGAUCGUGGUUAUGGCCAUGAGGGACACGGGGACACUUGUAGGGUCGUGGUUGGGGUCAUGAAGGGAUAUGGGGACACUUUUAGGAUCACGGUUAUGGUCAUGAGGAACAUGAGGACACGUGUAGGAUCAUGGUUGGGGUCAUGAGGAACACUUGUAGGAUCAUCGUUGGGGUCGUGAGGGACAUGGGGACACUUUUGUAGGGUCGUGGUUGGGGUCAUGAGGAACAUGGGGACAGUUGUAGGGUCAUGGCUGGGGUCAUGAGGAACAUGGGGACAGUUGUAGGAUCAUGGAUGGGGUCAUGAGGGGAUAUGGGAACACUUGUAGGGUCAUGGUUAUGGCCAUGAGGGACAUGGGGACGCUUGUAGGGUCAUGGUUAUGGUCAUGAGGGGACACUGCUACUUGUAGGGUCAUGGUUGGGGUCACGAGGGACACUUGUAGGAUCGUGGUUAUGGCCAUGAGGGACAUGAGGACACGUGUAGGAUCAUGGUUGGAGUCAUGAGGGACACUUGUGGGAUCAUGGCUAUGGUCCUGAGGGACAUGGGGACACUUGUAGGAUCAUCGUUGGGGUCAUGAGGGACAUGGGGACGCUUGUAGGGUCGUGGUUAUGGCCAUGAGGGACAUGGGGACGCUUGUAGGGUCAUGGUUAUGGUCAUGAGGGGACACUGCUACUUGUAGGAUCAUGGUUGGGGUCACGAGGGACACUUGUAGGAUCGUGGUUACGGCCAUGAGGGACACGGGGACACUUGUAGGGUCGUGGUUGGGGUCAUGAAGGGAUAUGGGGACACUUUUAGGAUCACGGUUAUGGUCAUGAGGAACAUGAGGACACGUGUAGGAUCAUGGUUGGGGUCACGAGGGACACUUGUAGGAUCAGGGCUAUGGUCCUGAGGGACACGGGGACG